RNAcentral lists this ribosomal RNA (485 nucleotides) under uncultured bacterium. RNAcentral's name for it is "partial 16S ribosomal RNA". It matches the Rfam family "Bacterial small subunit ribosomal RNA", at positions 30 to 507 of the family's 1533-position model. The record is from RNAcentral.
UUGAACGCUGGCGGCAUGCCUUACACCUGCCAGUCGAACGGCAGCACGGGUGCUUGCACCUGGUGGCGAGUGGCGAACGGGUGAGUAAUACAUCGGAACAUGUCCUGUAGUGGGGGAUAGCCCGGCGAAAGCCGGAUUAAUACCGCAUACGAUCUACGGAUGAAAGCGGGGGACCUUCGGGCCUCGCGCUAUAGGGUUGGCCGAUGGCUGAUUAGCUAGUUGGUGGGGUAAAGGCCUACCAAGGCGACGAUCAGUAGCUGGUCUGAGAGGACGACCAGCCACACUGGGACUGAGACACGGCCCAGACUCCUACGGGAGGCAGCAGUGGAGAAUUUUGGACAAUGGGCGAAAGCCUGAUCCAGCAAUGCCGCGUGUGUGAAGAAGGCCUUCGGGUUGUAAAGCACUUUUGUCCGGAAAGAAAUCCUUGGCCCUAAUACGGUCGGGGGAUGACGGUACCGGAAGAAUAAGCACCGGCUAACUACGUG